This 262-nucleotide unclassified non-coding RNA is filed under the name plant metagenome. RNAcentral's name for it is "partial contains small subunit ribosomal RNA, internal transcribed spacer 1, and 5.8S ribosomal RNA". The record is from RNAcentral.
UCUCCGUUGGUGAACCAGCGGAGGGAUCAUUACCGAGUUUACAACUCCCAAACCCCUAUAUGAACGUUACCAAACUGUUGCCUCGGCGGGAAAUUCAUGCCCCGGGCGCGUCGCAGCCCCGGACCAAGGCGCCCGCCGGAGGACCAACCAAAACUCUUUUGUAUGUCCCUCGCGGACUUUUAUAAUUCUGAACCAUCUCGGCGCCCCUAGCGGGCGUUUCGAAAAUGAAUCAAAACUUUCAACAACGGAUCUCUUGGUUCUG